This is a long non-coding RNA of Xenia sp. Carnegie-2017, 543 nucleotides long. RefSeq lists it as uncharacterized. The transcript has 2 exons. The record is from RefSeq and is a predicted model, not a curated record. Lineage: Eukaryota; Metazoa; Cnidaria; Anthozoa; Malacalcyonacea; Xeniidae.
UACCCAGUAAUUUUAUCUAACAUAAAUUUAUUUGAGCACUCUCAAAUUUGAGCCAUAUGAGAUAAUUAUGUUGUCAAGUAGAAUGGUAGAAUAUAAUUAGGAAAAAUUUAUGAAGAAACAAAGAGAGAGUCGGAAGUAUCUUUUGAGUGAUGUGUAUUUGGCUAUAAUUUAACCGGCUGGCUGCAUAGAAAUGUGGUUUCUCUAGACAAAGACGGUGAGCUCUCUCUAUGUGAUACUUUCUGAAGACCCAAUACCUACGUACCGACCUCCUGCAGCCGCAGAUACAGAAAGUAUGGAGUUGUCAAUCCAGCAAAGUGGAACAAGAUCGUCAUUGUGCUGCACGUGAAAAGGACGAACUCUUGCGACAAGUUAUUAUCAAGCGUUACGAACUCGUUAUGACCUAAAAUGAAGAUAGCAAACUCAGAAUAAACAAGAGAAUCACAACAUGUGAACACGUGUAUAGUCGAUACAGUAGCUAUUCUUUGAAUGGUUAUCGCUUGCGUUAAAUAAAAUCUUUAAAAUAAUUUGUAUUUUUCUUCAAAA